This 253-nucleotide ribosomal RNA is filed under the name uncultured bacterium. RNAcentral's name for it is "partial 16S ribosomal RNA". It matches the Rfam family "Bacterial small subunit ribosomal RNA", at positions 524 to 776 of the family's 1533-position model. The record is from RNAcentral.
UACGUAGGGUGCAAGCGUUAAUCGGAAUUACUGGGCGUAAAGCGUGCGCAGGCGGUUUGCUAAGUCAGGUGUGAAAUCCCCGGGCUUAACCUGGGAACUGCGCUUGUUACUGGCAGGCUUGAGUGUGGCAGAGGGGGGUGGAAUUCCACGUGUAGCAGUGAAAUGCGUAGAGAUGUGGAGGAACACCGAUGGCGAAGGCAGCCCCCUGGGCUAACACUGACGCUCAUGCACGAAAGCGUGGGGAGCAAACAGG